AGCGACUUAUAUUCUGUAGCAAGGUUAACCGAAUAGGGGAGCCGGAGGGAAACCGAGUCUUAAUUGGGCGUUAAGUUGCAGGGUAUAGACCCGAAACCCGGUGAUCUAGCCAUGGGCAGGUUGAAGGUUGGGUAACACUAACUGGAGGACCGAACCGACUAAUGUUGAAAAAUUAGCGGAUGACCUGUGGCUGGGGGUGAAAGGCCAAUCAAACCGGGAGAUAGCUGGUUCUCCCCGAAAGCUAUUUAGGUAGCGCCUCGUGAAUUCAUCUCCGGGGGUAGAGCACUGUUUCGGCUAGGGGGCCAUCCCGGCUUACCAACCCGAUGCAAACUGCGAAUACCGGAGAAUGUUAUCACGGGAGACACACGGCGGGUGCUAACGUCCGUCGUGAAGAGGGAAACAACCCAGACCGCCAGCUAAGGUCCCAAAGUCAUGGUUAAGUGGGAAACGAUGUGGGAAGGCCCAGACAGCCAGGAUGUUGGCUUAGAAGCAGCCAUCAUUUAAAGAAAGCGUAAUAGCUCACUGGUCGAGUCGGCCUGCGCGGAAGAUGUAACGGGGCUAAACCAUGCACCGAAGCUGCGGCAGCGACGCUGAUGCGUUGUUGGGUAGGGGAGCGUUCUGUAAGCCUGCGAAGGUGUGUCGUGAGGCAUGCUGGAGGUAUCAGAAGUGCGAAUGCUGACAUAAGUAACGAUAAAGCGGGUGAAAAGCCCGCUCGCCGGAAGACCAAGGGUUCCUGUCCAACGUUAAUCGGGGCAGGGUGAGUCGACCCCUAAGGCGAGGCCGAAAGGCGUAGUCGAUGGGAAACGGGUUAAUAUUCCCGUACUUGGUGUUACUGCGAAGGGGGGACGGAGAAGGCUAUGUUGGCCGGGCGACGGUUGUCCCGGUUUAAGCGUGUAGGUGUGUGUUCCAGGUAAAUCCGGUUCACUUUAACACUGAGGCGUGAUGACGAGGCACUACGGUGCUGAAGCAACAAAUGCCCUGCUUCCAGGAAAAGCCUCUAAGCAUCAGGUAACAUCAAAUCGUACCCCAAACCGACACAGGUGGUCAGGUAGAGAAUACCAAGGCGCUUGAGAGAACUCGGGUGAAGGAACUAGGCAAAAUGGUGCCGUAACUUCGGGAGAAGGCACGCUGACACGUAGGUGAAGUGAUUUACUCAUGGAGCUGAAGUCAGUCGAAGAUACCAGCUGGCUGCAACUGUUUAUUAAAAACACAGCACUGUGCAAACACGAAAGUGGACGUAUACGGUGUGACGCCUGCCCGGUGCCGGAAGGUUAAUUGAUGGGGUCAGCGCAAGCGAAGCUCCUGAUCGAAGCCCCGGUAAACGGCGGCCGUAACUAUAACGGUCCUAAGGUAGCGAAAUUCCUUGUCGGGUAAGUUCCGACCUGCACGAAUGGCGUAAUGAUGGCCAGGCUGUCUCCACCCGAGACUCAGUGAAAUUGAACUCGCUGUGAAGAUGCAGUGUACCCGCGGCAAGACGGAAAGACCCCGUGAACCUUUACUAUAGCUUGACACUGAACAUUGAGCCUUGAUGUGUAGGAUAGGUGGGAGGCUUUGAAGUGUGGACGCCAGUCUGCAUGGAGCCGGCCUUGAAAUACCACCCUUUAAUGUUUGAUGUUCUAACGUGGACCCGUGAUCCGGGUUGCGGACAGUGUCUGGUGGGUAGUUUGACUGGGGCGGUCUCCUCCUAAAGAGUAACGGAGGAGCACGAAGGUUGGCUAAUCCUGGUCGGACAUCAGGAGGUUAGUGCAAUGGCAUAAGCCAGCUUGACUGCGAGCGUGACGGCGCGAGCAGGUGCGAAAGCAGGUCAUAGUGAUCCGGUGGUUCUGAAUGGAAGGGCCAUCGCUCAACGGAUAAAAGGUACUCCGGGGAUAACAGGCUGAUACCGCCCAAGAGUUCAUAUCGACGGCGGUGUUUGGCACCUCGAUGUCGGCUCAUCACAUCCUGGGGCUGAAGUAGGUCCCAAGGGUAUGGCUGUUCGCCAUUUAAAGUGGUACGCGAGCUGGGUUUAGAACGUCGUGAGACAGUUCGGUCCCUAUCUGCCGUGGGCGCUGGAGAACUGAGGGGGGCUGCUCCUAGUACGAGAGGACCGGAGUGGACGCAUCACUGGUGUUCGGGUUGUCAUGCCAAUGGCACUGCCCGGUAGCUAAAUGCGGAAGAGAUAAGUGCUGAAAGCAUCUAAGCACGAAACUUGCCCCGAGAUGAGUUCUCCCUGAGACUUAGAGUCUCCUGAAGGAACGUUGAAGACGACGACGUUGAUAGGCCGGGUGUGUAAGCGCAGCGAUGCGUUGAGCUAACCGGUACUAAUGAACCGUGAGGCUUAACCUUACAACGCCGAAG
Molecule: ribosomal RNA, 2337 nt
Filed under: Salmonella enterica subsp. enterica serovar Johannesburg
Lineage: Bacteria; Pseudomonadati; Pseudomonadota; Gammaproteobacteria; Enterobacterales; Enterobacteriaceae
Description: partial 23S ribosomal RNA
Rfam family: Bacterial large subunit ribosomal RNA
Source: RNAcentral